Molecule: unclassified non-coding RNA, 281 nt
Organism: Cavia aperea (Brazilian guinea pig)
Lineage: Eukaryota; Metazoa; Chordata; Mammalia; Rodentia; Caviidae
Gene: 7SK
Rfam family: 7SK RNA
About the family: 7SK was discovered as an abundant small nuclear RNA in the mid-70s but a possible function has only recently been suggested. Two independent studies have found that 7SK RNA binds the CDK9/cyclin T complex (known as elongation factor P-TEFb).
Source: Ensembl
GGGUAUAAGGGCGACUUGGCUGCAGCACACGGUUGAGUCAGCUGAUCUGGCUGGUUGGGUGGGUGACCUCUUCCCCUCUCAUGUUCCACCUGUAUUCCCCGGAGGCUGGGCACUCAGGGAUGACCAGGCCCCGUAGAAGGGAACCAUUCCUUGGCCAAGGGCGUGCAGGUAGCUGUGCUCCCCCGCUAGAACCUCCGAACAAAUUUUCAAGAUGUGUUACAUACAUGAACUAAUUCCAUGCGUGGAAAGUGAACAUUGUGUAUCGCAAACAUGUACAAAAU